This 379-nucleotide ribosomal RNA is filed under the name uncultured eukaryote. RNAcentral describes it as "partial 18S ribosomal RNA". It matches the Rfam family "Eukaryotic small subunit ribosomal RNA", at positions 592 to 976 of the family's 1831-position model. The record is from RNAcentral.
CAAUAGCGUAUAUUUAAGUUGUUGCAGUUAAAAAGCUCGUAGUUGGAUUUCGGAUGGGACUUGCCGGUCCGUCGUUUCGAUGUGCACUGGCCAGUCCUAUCUUGUUGUCGGGGACUAGCUCCUGGGCUUCACUGUCCGGGACUAGGAGCUGACGAGGUUACUUUGAGUAAAUUAGAGUGUUCAAAGCAAGCCUACGCUCUGAAUACAUUAGCAUGGAAUAACACGAUAGGACUCUGGCUUAUCUUGUUGGUCUGUGAGACCAGAGUAAUGAUUAAGAGGGACAGUCGGGGGCAUUCUUAUUUCAUUGUCAGAGGUGAAAUUCUUGGAUUUAUGAAAGACGAACUUCUGCGAAAGCAUUUGUCAAGGAUGUUUUCAUUAA